UACGGAAGGUCCGGGCGUUAUCCGGAUUUAUUGGGUUUAAAGGGAGCGUAGGCCGGAGAUUAAGCGUGUUGUGAAAUGUAGAUGCUCAACAUCUGCACUGCAGCGCGAACUGGUUUCCUUGAGUACGCACAAAGUGGGCGGAAUUCGUGGUGUAGCGGUGAAAUGCUUAGAUAUCACGAAGAACUCCGAUUGCGAAGGCAGCUCACUGGAGCGCAACUGACGCUGAAGCUCGAAAGUGCGGGUAUCGAACAGGAGUAGAAACCCAUGUAGUCCGGCUGACUCU
RNAcentral lists this ribosomal RNA (283 nucleotides) under Segatella copri DSM 18205. RNAcentral describes it as "Prevotella copri DSM 18205 partial 16S ribosomal RNA". It matches the Rfam family "Bacterial small subunit ribosomal RNA", at positions 524 to 810 of the family's 1533-position model. Lineage: Bacteria; Pseudomonadati; Bacteroidota; Bacteroidia; Bacteroidales; Prevotellaceae. The record is from RNAcentral.